AGUGAACGCUGGCGGUAGGCCUAACACAUGCAAGUCGAACGGCAGCACAGUAAGAGCUUGCUCUUACGGGUGGCGAGUGGCGGACGGGUGAGGAAUACAUCGUAAUCUACUUUUUCGUGGGGGAUAACGUAGGGAAACUUACGCUAAUACCGCAUACGACCUACGGGUGAAAGCAGGGGAUCUUCGGACCUUGCGCGAUUGAAUGAGCCGAUGUCGGAUUAGCUAGUUGGCGGGGUAAAGGCCCACCAAGGCGACGAUCCGUAGCUGGUCUGAGAGGAUGAUCAGCCACACUGGAACUGAGACACGGUCCAGACUCCUACGGGAGGCAGCAGUGGGGAAUAUUGGACAAUGGGCGCAAGCCUGAUACAGCCAUACCGCGUGGGUGAAGAAGGCCUUCGGGUUGUAAAGCCCUUUUGUUGGGAAAGAAAAGCAGCAGGUUAAUACCCCGCUGUUCUGACGGUACCCAAAGAAUAAGCACCGGCUAACUUCGUG
RNAcentral lists this ribosomal RNA (492 nucleotides) under uncultured bacterium. RNAcentral describes it as "partial 16S ribosomal RNA". It matches the Rfam family "Bacterial small subunit ribosomal RNA", at positions 29 to 507 of the family's 1533-position model. The record is from RNAcentral.